This 65-nucleotide transfer RNA is filed under the name Scolytinae sp. BMNH 1274279. RNAcentral describes it as "tRNA-His". Lineage: Eukaryota; Metazoa; Arthropoda; Insecta; Coleoptera; Curculionidae. The record is from RNAcentral.
CUUGAAUAGUUUAUAUAAAAAUAUCAAUUUGUGGAGUUGAGGAGGUAGCGGAUACUUCAGGCAAU